RNAcentral lists this RNase P RNA (336 nucleotides) under Acetonema longum DSM 6540. RNAcentral describes it as "Bacterial RNase P class B". It matches the Rfam family "Bacterial RNase P class B". From Rfam's summary of the family: Ribonuclease P (RNase P) is a ubiquitous endoribonuclease, found in archaea, bacteria and eukarya as well as chloroplasts and mitochondria. The record is from Rfam by way of RNAcentral. Lineage: Bacteria; Bacillati; Bacillota; Negativicutes; Acetonemataceae.
GAGUACGAGGAAUCGCGGCAGAUCGAACGGUUUGCUGAGGAAAGUCCAUGCUUCCACAACCUGGGAUGGUUGUAAUGAUCGUGCCUAUCGCAAGAUAGGGCAGGAGGGCAGCGGCGCUCCUGACAACGGCCAAAUCCACUCCCUGAGUGGAAAGUAGCCAUAAAGUGCCACAGAAAUCAGACAGGCUGGCGACGGCCUGGUGCAAGCGGUAAACUUCACGAGGAAGAAACCCAGUGUGUAGGGGAGCCUCUCAACGGGAAACAGAACUGGAGAGAGGAACGCCGUAAUCGCGGCGUUAGAGAAAUGAUUCCAUAGAACAGAAAAUGGCUUACAGUU